Molecule: unclassified non-coding RNA, 337 nt
Filed under: soil metagenome
Description: partial contains 5.8S ribosomal RNA, internal transcribed spacer 2, and large subunit ribosomal RNA
Rfam family: 5.8S ribosomal RNA (bases 1-120)
Source: RNAcentral
GAUGAAGAACGUAGCGAAAUGCGAUAAGUAAUGUGAAUUGCAGAAUUCAGUGAAUCAUCGAAUCUUUGAACGCACAUUGCGCCCCUUGGUAUUCCGGGGGGCAUGCCUGUUCGAGCGUCAUUUCAACCCUCAAGCUCUGCUUGGUAUUGGGCACCGUCCUUUGCGGGCGCGCCUCAAAGACCUCGGCGGUGGCGUCUUGCCUCAAGCGUAGUAGAAUACACCUCGCUUCGGAGCGUAAGGCGUCGCCCGCCGGACGAACCUUCUGAACUUUUCUCAAGGUUGACCUCGGAUCAGGUAUGGAUACCCGCUGAACUUAAGCAUAUCAAUAAGCGGAGGA